CCCCCCCCCCCCCCCCCCCCCCCCCCCCCCCCCCCCCCCCCCCCCCCCCCCCCCCCCCCCCCCCCCCCCCCCCCCCCCCCCCCCCCCCCCCCCCCCCCCCCCCCCCCCCCCCCCCCCCCCCCCCCCCCCCCCCCCCCCCCCCCCCCCCCCCCCCCCCCCCCCCCCCCCCCCCCCCCCCCCCCCCCCCCCCCCCCCCCGCCCAAACCCCACAGAACCUCCUAAGAAAUCCUACAGAGCCCAAAUCCCAUAGAGCCCAAAUCCCACAGAGCCCAAACCCCACAGAGCCUCCUGAGAGAUGCCAGAAAGCCCAAACCCCUCAGAGCCCAAACCCCACAGAACCUCCUAAGAAAUCCUACAGAGCCCAAAUCCCAUAGAGCCCAAAUCCCAGAGUCCAAAACCCACAGAGCCCAAAUCCCACAGAGCAAAUCCUACAGAGCCCAAAUCCCACAGAGCCUCCUAAGAAACCCCACAGGGCCCACACCCCACAGAGCCUCCUGAGAGAUGCCAGAGAGCCCAAACUCCACAGUGCCCAAACCCCACAGAACCUCCUAAGAAAUCCUACAGAGCCCAAAUCCCAUAGAGCCCAAAUCCCACAGAGCCCAAACCCCACAGAGCCUCCUGAGAGAUGCCAGAGAGCCCAAACCCCACAGAGCCCAAACCCCACAGAGCCCAAACCCCACAGAACCUCCUAAGAAAUCCUACAGAGCCCAAAUCCCAUAGAGCCCAAACCCCACAGAGCCCAAACCCCACAGAGCCCAAACCCCACAGAGCCCAAACCCCACAGAGCCCAAACCCCACAGAGCCCAAACCCCACAGAGCCCAAACCCCACAGAGCCCAAACCCCACAGAGCCCAAACCCCACAGAGCCCAAACCCCACAGAGCCCAAACCCCACAGAGCCCAAACCCCACAGAGCCCAAACCCCACAGAGCCCAAACCCCACAGAGCCCAAACCCCACAGAGCCCAAACCCCACAGAGCCCAAACCCCACAGAGCCCAAACCCCACAGAGCCCAAAUCCCACGUAGCUUCCUGAGAAAUUCCACAGACCCCACAGGUCCCUCCAUCCCAAACCCCACAGGCUCCCCAGUCCCAAAGGUGCUCACACCUCUGGCCAAUCCCAAACCCCUUUUGCCAACCCCAACCCCUCUGCCCAAUCCCAAAUCCCUCUAUCCAAUCCCAAACCCCUUUUGCCAAUCCCAAACCCCCCGGGCCAAUCCCACUGUCCAGAGGCCGAUUUGGGGCCCCAAUCCCCGCCCCACAGCGCUUCUCCGCAGCCGGGGCGGCUCCCGGCGCUGCGGAAUUAGGAUUUCAUUGGGGUUUGGAGCCUCUGCUCCGCCCAGCGCGGCCACCCCGACACCGGGAUGGGGAUCCCGGUGCUGCUCCCGGUUCUCCCGGUGCCCCGNGGUUUGGGGUUUGGGUUUAGGUUUAGGUUUGGGUUUAGGUGUUUUGGUGCCGGGUUUCCCUCUCAGUACACCCCAGACCACUCCGUGUUUCAGAUCACAUUUAAUGUCCUGGAACAAUCCCAAUCUCUGGGAAUGAUCCCAAUAUCUGGGAACAAUCACAACCUCUAAGAACAAUCCCAGUCUCUGGGAAGGAUCCCAAUCUCUGGGUCUUGUCCUCGGUUCAACCUUUGGAAACCUCAGGUCUGGCUUUGGAAAUGAACAAAUGCUGAAGGGGCAGCUGCCCAGAGUGUCCUGAGAAAUCCCACAGGGCCC
Molecule: long non-coding RNA, 1716 nt
Filed under: Ficedula albicollis (Collared flycatcher)
Lineage: Eukaryota; Metazoa; Chordata; Aves; Passeriformes; Muscicapidae
Description: lncRNA (ENSFALG00000017811.2)
Source: RNAcentral